AGUCGANCGGAANGGCCCUUCGGGGUACUCGAGUGGCGAACGGGUGAGUAACACGUGGGUGAUCUGCCCUGCACUUUGGGAUAAGCCUGGGAAACUGGGUCUAAUACCGAAUAUGACCNCGCUCUUCAUGGGGUGUGGUGGAAAGCUUUUGCGGUGUGGGAUGGGCCCGCGGCCUAUCAGCUUGUUGGUGGGGUAAUGGCCUACCAAGGCGACGACGGGUAGCCGGCCUGAGAGGGUGACCGGCCACACUGGGACUGAGAUACGGCCCAGACUCCUACGGGAGGCAGCAGUGGGGAAUAUUGCACAAUGGGCGCAAGCCUGAUGCAGCGACGCCGCGUGAGGGAUGACGGCCUUCGGGUUGUAAACCUCUUUCACCAGGGACGAAGCGCAAGUGACGGUACCUGGAGAAGAAGCACCGGCCAACUACGUGCCAGCAGCCGCGGUAAUACGUAGGGUGCGAGCGUUGUCCGGAAUUACUGGGCGUAAAGAGCUCGUAGGUGGUUUGUCGCGUUGUUCGUGAAAACUCACAGCUUAACUGUGGGCGUGCGGGCGAUACGGGCAGACUAGAGUACUGCAGGGGAGACUGGAAUUCCUGGUGUAGCGGUGGAAUGCGCAGAUAUCAGGAGGAACACCGGUGGCGAAGGCGGGUCUCUGGGCAGUAACUGACGCUGAGGAGCGAAAGCGUGGGGAGCGAACAGGAUUAGAUACCCUGGUAGUCCACGCCGUAAACGGUGGGUACUAGGUGUGGGUUCCUUCCUUGGGAUCCGUGCCGUAGCUAACGCAUUAAGUACCCCGCCUGGGGAGUACGGCCGCAAGGCUAAAACUCAAAGGAAUUGACGGGGGCCCGCACAAGCGGCGGAGCAUGUGGAUUAAUUCGAUGCAACGCGAAGAACCUUACCUGGGUUUGACAUGCACAGGACGCUGGUAGAGAUAUCAGUUCCCUUGUGGCCUGUGUGCAGGUGGUGCAUGGCUGUCGUCAGCUCGUGUCGUGAGAUGUUGGGUUAAGUCCCGCAACGAGCGCAACCCCUAUCUUAUGUUGCCAGCGCGUUAUGGCGGGGACUCGUAAGAGACUGCCGGGGUCAACUCGGAGGAAGGUGGGGAUGACGUCAAGUCAUCAUGCCCCUUAUGUCCAGGGCUUCACACAUGCUACAAUGGCCGGUACAAAGGGCUGCGAAUCCGCGAGGUGGAGCGAAUCCCUUGAAAGCCGGUCUCAGUUCGGAUCGGGGUCUGCAACUCGACCCCGUGAAGUUGGAGUCGCUAGUAAUCGCAGAUCAGCAACGCUGCGGUGAAUACGUUCCCGGGCCUUGUACACACCGCCCGUCACGUNNNNNAGUCGGUAACACCCGAAGCC
RNAcentral lists this ribosomal RNA (1351 nucleotides) under Mycobacterium sp. RNAcentral describes it as "bacterial SSU rRNA". It matches the Rfam family "Bacterial small subunit ribosomal RNA", at positions 60 to 1428 of the family's 1533-position model. The record is from RNAcentral. Lineage: Bacteria; Bacillati; Actinomycetota; Actinomycetes; Mycobacteriales; Mycobacteriaceae.